This 550-nucleotide ribosomal RNA is filed under the name Photobacterium aquimaris. Its description in RNAcentral is "bacterial LSU rRNA". It matches the Rfam family "Bacterial large subunit ribosomal RNA", at positions 1 to 608 of the family's 2925-position model. Lineage: Bacteria; Pseudomonadati; Pseudomonadota; Gammaproteobacteria; Vibrionales; Vibrionaceae. The record is from RNAcentral.
UGACUAAGCGUACACGGUGGAUGCCUUGGCAGUCAGAGGCGAUGAAGGACGUAUUAACUUGCGAUAAGCCCAGAUUAGGCAGUAAAAGCCACUUGAGUCUGGGAUUUCCGAAUGGGGAAACCCACUUACAUAAGUAAGUAUCAUUAACUGAAUACAUAGGUUAAUGAGGCAAACCGGGGGGAACUGAAACAUCUAAGUACCCCGAGGAAGAGAAAUCAACCGAGAUUCCGGUAGUAGCGGCGAGCGAAACCGGAUUAGCCCUUAAGUUAGUUCAGCGUUAGGUGAAGGUUCUGGAAAGUACCGCGAUACAGGGUGAUAGCCCCGUAACCAACAACGCUUUAUUAGUGAAAUCGAGUAGGACGGGACACGUGAUAUCCUGUUUGAACAUGGGGGGACCAUCCUCCAAGGCUAAAUACUCCUGACUGACCGAUAGUGAACCAGUACCGUGAGGGAAAGGCGAAAAGAACCCCUGUGAGGGGAGUGAAAUAGAACCUGAAACCGUGUACGUACAAGCAGUAGGAGCAUACUUGUUAUGUGACUGCGUACCUUU